Long non-coding RNA from Chelonia mydas (Green sea turtle), 362 nucleotides. RefSeq lists it as uncharacterized. The record is from RefSeq and is a predicted model, not a curated record. NCBI's taxonomy places the organism in Eukaryota, Metazoa, Chordata, Testudines, Cheloniidae. The transcript is spliced from 2 exons.
UUCCUACCAAAAUCCCAAUCUUUCCUUCAGGCUGCGAAACAAGUGGUAAGGGCAGCUCACAUCACGAGAGCAGGUGGUACAAACAGACGCAGGAGGAGGGAAUCUUUCCUUUACAGUCUUUGUUCAUCAUCCAGUAAAACUACAGCUGAGUUCAUAAUCAGGCCCUGUAAAUUCUAGCAAGACUCCACAGAUGAAAAAAUGUCUUGAUUCAUUUAUGCAACAUAUUCUCUUUUUCCACUUGUUCAGAACAAACAUUUCGUUGACUUGGUUCAUAUCAUUACGACCAGGCUACACUCCACCCAGCAGAGCAGACAUUGCUGGAUACAGUAUACAAGAAGUAAAUUGAAAAGUUUGCAAAAAAA